CAGGGCUACACAGAAAAACCCUGUAUCAAAACAACCAAAAACCAAAAAACAAAACAACAACAACAACAAACCCUUAGUGUUUUCUGAUAGAAGUGAAUCUUAAUUGUAUUAGUGACCCUUGUCACAGAUUACAAGGAAUGCUGGCUUCCUCAGAAUCGUGAAGCUCCAGUGCCCAUUGGUUCUCUAUGACGCUCAGAGCUUCGUUAUUCUGUCUGGAUCUGAGCAGCACUCUGGUGCAUAUAAGAUGCUUGAGGUAGACUUUGAGUUUUGAAAUGGUAGAGGCUGCUUACCACAAAUCUGUUUUAACCAGGAGUGGCAGAACGUCUGAUUCUUUAGGCUUUUCUUUCUUGUAAAAUUAAAAAGAAUUGUUUAAUUAAGUGCACAUGAGUACAGGUGCCCAUGGAGACCAGAAAGGGGACAUCAGUGCCCUCGAUCUGGAAGGCUGGGGUAAGUCACCUCACAUGGGUGUUGUGAGCCAAACUUGGGCUCCGGAAGAGCAGCAAGUGCUAUAUCUGCUGAGCCAUCCCUCCAACCCCUAAAAUUUAUUUUAAAAGAAGUUACCUUUAUCAUCAUACUUUUCUGUCCAUUGUUUUUGAAACAGACAAAAAGCCAAGGAGUUUUCAAAUAGCAUUCUCUACUUGUAGAGAUAUAGAUGGGUGUAAACCAUGAGGAUGGUUACUUUCUGUUUUAUUUUAGAAUUCAGAAGUUUUGGAGUUGACUGAUAGGCCUCUCCAACAUUUCUCUCCACAUGUGCUUGUGUGUACAGGCGUAUUUGUAUGUACUUGUGUGUACAUGCCAGUGUUGUGCUUGCUGAGUAGGCUAAACUGGCUAGCUGGCCAGUGAGCUUUAGGUAUGACCGUAAUUCUCCUUUCCCAGCCCUGGGACUGUACAUGUAGGCCUCUGUCUGGUUUUUACACAUGGCCAGGAGAGUAAACUCAUGUACCAAAUGCAUGCACAUGAGCACUAGUUAUGAGAUGUCACAGUUUCUUGCAAAGAAUCCAAAGCCUUUAUAAAUUACUGAAUGUCUAGUGGGAAUGCUACCCCUCUGGAAGAGAGGAGCUGAUGUAAGCGGUAUUUUGAAUGAGGUUGGAAGCUGGUGCCAAGAGGGCAUGGAUACAUUGUUCAAGUGAGAAGGUGGGAACUGGAAGAAACCAGGUGUGCUAAGUGUAUACUUUUGUGUCUUGUCUAUUAUUGAAGAUGAGCAGUUCAGAAGCUAAGAAAAACAGCACUGUGCAUUGUAGUGUGGCUUUUGUAAUAAUACUGUGUGGAUACAAAUAUUGGCAGCAAUGGAUUCUCUUAUCACCAUCAUUUUAGACAUGUAAAGAAACAGAAUAACAUUGACUUGGUGCCAGACUGUAAGUUCAGAACUACUUUAUUGUCUCUGGCUGACCAGGGGUGGCCACAGGGAAGAAAAUGCAGCUGUAGGCUGAAUUGACAGGCUGAAAGGGAAAGUGUGUAGAGGCCAGGCACAGAACCUGUAGGCUUCUCAGUUCUUACUUAGUAGAGAAGAGACUUUACUAGAAACUGAAAUAAACAGAAAUUAGCAGUAGAAGCUAGCUAGUUGGUGCCGAGGCUGCUGUUAGGAGGGGUGAGACCAUACUGAAGAGGGAUAGGAAGGGCAGGUGCAGUUCAUUGCUUGCCACAGUCUUCCUUCCUCCCUGUCAUCAGGUGGGUGUGGUGGAUGUGCUGUGCUGUCACGCUGGAUUGAAAUGACGGAGGAGUGGGUGUCCUUUCUUUACCUUUUCUUCCAUUUGUGGAGUCAAGUCUGAAGGUUGGAGGUCUUUUGGGGAAGUAGACAUAGGUUCAAAGGAUCUAGUCCCUGAUUGUUCGGGAGAUAGCUCAGUUGGUAAAGUGCUUGCGAGGUCCUGCUGCUUGGGUAGCUGGUUCAUGCCUGUGCAAGCAUGCGGCCCUGAGGUAGGUUACAGGUGAAUGCCUGGGCUCACUGGGCGGCUAGCCUCACCUAGUCGGGAAGCCCCAGGGCUUCGAUAGACCGUCUCAGAAAACCUAGGUGACAGUGCGUGGGGACUAACACUCAAGGUUAGUCUCCGGCCUCCACACAGAAGUGCAUCCAUGGGCGCCUGCACACGCACCACAUGGACACACACCUGCUCUCUAAGUAAACAAACGGGUUCCAGGUAGAAGCAAAGUGUGCACUAAACAGGGACAUACCAAGUGGACUGGAAUUUUGGCUGAAGCUACUGAAAAUUUGGGGUUUAGCAGUUAAUGGUGUCACAGCUGCAAGCCAUUGAGUAGAUGAAGUGCUUGAGAUCCUAAGAAUAUCUGUAAGAAUGGUAGCUGAGGUGGGUGAUGCUGAGCUGCUGCUGAUACAGAUACACAGAGUAUACGCCGUGGAUUCAGCGAGGGCCAUUGGCCAAGCCUGAGAUGCCUGUGAGGACGCACAGGGUAGUCCUUGAGUCUGUAUUUCGAUGAAUGCUGAUAGUAUCCAUGCCAUGAAAGUUUUGUCUUGUAGCAGACAUUGCCAUAAGAACUAGGAUUAGAAGAGUUCUCUUAAAGCAGAAUGUCCUGUCCUGGCACGCAGUGUUUCAGCUGGGUGAUGAUUUGGUUAUGUGUUCCUGCGUGUUAGAGAAUGGGUUACCCCAUCCCUGAACCCACUAGAUUCCAGGAAUACUCUCGUAAUUGUAACAGCUAGAAAAUGUUUCAAGACAUUGCUAAAUGUCCUCUGGGAUAGUAGAGACACUACCUUAAAGACAGAGUGAACCUGUAAGCUAUAGAAAAUCCCUCUCUUUAGUUAAAGAGCUUUCCCUUCUGUUAGGGAAUAGAUGAGGGUUCAUGGGAGGUUGUUUAUGGAUGUGGAGUGAAGGAAAUGUGCAUUGUUUUUGUAAAGGUUAUAGUUUCUGUUGGAUUUUUAUUUAUUUUUUCCUUUUGAGACAAGAUCUCAUUGUUGAGCUAUGGCUGGCCUGUGUCGUCUAGGCAGGGCCCCAACUCCAUGUGAUCCUUUUGUUUUUGUACCACCAUGUCUGACUUGUUGACUCUUGACCCAUUCUUAGUUCUAUCAGUUUCAUAUUUAGUUUCCUUCAAACAGCAAGAAAGCUACCAGUUAGCUGAGCCCAAAUGAAGACAUUACUGAAGUUUUUCAUUUUUUUCUAUAUUUUUCCUCCUAAUUAUGGGUACUUUGUAUUUCCUAUUUAAACACAGUUUCCGCUAUGUAACCCUAUCUCUGCAUUAUGUCCUGAGGUUGCUUAUAAUUGAUAAAAGCAAGUAAUGUUGACACUAUGACUAUGUAACUAUUAUUUAUGGCUGGGUCAGGUAGUAUGCAUAGAUUGUGAUUCCUUUUCUGUAGAUUUUAUUAUGUAGUCCCCGAGUAAUUAAAAAAAAGAAAACAGUUGAUAAUACCAAGGUUCUGACUAUUGAAUUUUUUUAACGUUUGGGCAGGACUUCCUGUUUCCCUAAUUUUUUCCUUGUCCCCUCUUCUAACAGUAUAUGUCUCUACCCUAGUCUUCCCUACACUGCCUCCUUACUCCCAUCUAUUCUAUUGUGCUUUCAAUCUGAGUGGUCAGCCUCUAGAUUAGACAGCUUGCCUUUUAGGUCUCUUCCUAUCACUUUCUUCUGAUAUGCUGUUUUGUUUGCUUGGUUUCAGACACGGACUCUCACUGUAGCCCAGGUUUAGCCCAGCUGACCCCAAGUUUACAGCGAUCGGAUCCUUCUUCAGUGCUAGGAAUGGGCCAGCAUGUCCAGUCCUCAUUUUAGAACUCUUUAAUUGGAUAAUGUAACUUCCCUUUGCCCCUAUAGUCUUGUGGAAGUAUACAUUCUCAGGUGUGUGUAUGUGUGUGUGUGUGUGUGUGUGUGUCCACCUACCCAUCCGUCCAUUCAUCUAGAAGAUGAGUGUUGGGAGCCCUGACUUAUUGCUCUCUAACAUAUGCCCUUGAGACAGGGUUUCAGUCUUGAACGUCUUGCUGGUUUUCAUGUUAGGCUGGCUAGCUAGCAACCCCCAGUGAUCUUCCUGUCUCAGUCCUCCGAUUUUAGGGCCCUUCAACCCUGAGAUUACCGGCCAUACCAUCUGGCUUCUUAGGGUGCGGGAGAUCCAAAUUUAGGUUCUUAUUGCUGGCUCAGCAAGUGUUCUUUCCUAUUGAGCCAUGUCCUCAGCUCACUUUUGUUCUUUCUGAGACAGGGAAUCAUGUAGCCCACACUUUCCUUGAAUUCACUUUACAGUUGAGGAUGACUGUAAACUUUUUGUAAGACUAUAAUGUUAGAAUCUAGCUGCUGCUCUGGCCAUGGGCACCAUUCACAGCCUUUCCCCUUUCACAGAUAGCAACAGGCACCCUAUUGAGACAUUUUCUUGGCGUCUCUAGCUAACAGACUCCCAGGUGCCAAGAUCUUUUUUUUACCUGGGGAAAUGAGUUUACCUCAAAGGGCUCUUGUUUUUGGUGGUGACACACACAUCCUAUAUCCAGCUCUCUUCCUUGCCUCUUGCCUGGGAAUCGGAGAGCUUGGCUAUAGACUUGUGUUUUGAAACUACUCUAUCCUCAAAAGGGAGCAAUAUUAUACUCAGUUGCCAUUACAGUCUGAAUUAUAGGCAUUUUCUAACUUUCUGAAAUGCCUGUCUACUGAGUCCUUGGUGAUGUUCUGUUUUCAUUUCUCUGCUUGCUUGUAGGGUUUUCUUAGGAUGGUUCUGCUUAUCUUACUUUUACUUUUAUCCUUCUGGUUCUUGUUCUGUCUUUAGACAUUUAGAGGCUCCCUUUUGCCUCCAUGCCUAGCAUUUCUCCCUGAGGUUAAUCAACACAUUUUGUUUUCUACUUACAUUGUAUUAGCAUCCCCAACUAUCCCCCUUGGUCAUUUUUUGUUUUUGUAAUCAUUUCUUUUCCGUACUUAGUUUUCCAUUAGAUGCAUGGUGAUUGUUGGUUGACCUAGCGUGUACCAGGGCUGGGCGUCCUUCCCCCUUCCCCCUUCCCCUGUGUUAGGUUUUCCUUUGAGUUGUGGACGAUGGAGCAUUGGAUGUCAGAGCAGUAGAGUGUCCUUUAGCUGCCUUUGUUUUAGGUUAAAUGGGAGGUAAUAGCUACUGGGGCUGUAGGCCUUUUAAAUAACAGACAGUUUUAUUUGGUGUCUGUAUCCCUGCCUAAGUUUCAUUUUCUCUUUGGGGGGAAAAAUACCAGAAUUUGAAAGGAAAGCAAAGC
Molecule: long non-coding RNA, 5132 nt
Filed under: Mus musculus (house mouse)
Lineage: Eukaryota; Metazoa; Chordata; Mammalia; Rodentia; Muridae
Description: long non-coding RNA chr10:111169781-111174913
Source: RNAcentral